RNAcentral lists this long non-coding RNA (263 nucleotides) under Carica papaya (papaya). Its description in RNAcentral is "long non-coding RNA (CPAP_LNC012171)". Lineage: Eukaryota; Viridiplantae; Streptophyta; Magnoliopsida; Brassicales; Caricaceae. The record is from RNAcentral.
CCAGAUGUUGUUAAACUUCUUUAAGGAGGUCGCAUGCUUCUGCUUCUCCCUUCUCUCCUCCAUACUUUCCGUCUAUUCUUGGUCAAUAUAGCACAAAAAGAUGAGACCUUUGUUGUCGUUAAGCUGCUUCUUCUUCUCAUGCUGUCUCAUUCAACCCCACUGCUUCUGCAACUUCCGUUUUCUCCUCGCUGGUUUUUGGUCUCUUCUUGGUCACGAUGCAAGAAAGCUGGGACCUUCGUCAAUCUUGAGCUGUUUCUUCUUCC